CGAGUGGCGAACGGGUGAGUAACACGUGGGUGAUCUGCCCUGCACUUCGGGAUAAGCCUGGGAAACUGGGUCUAAUACCGGAUAGGAGCCAUUUUUAGUGUGAUGGUUGGAAAGUUUUUCGGUGUAGGAUGAGCUCGCGGCCUAUCAGCUUGUUGGUGGGGUAAUGGCCUACCAAGGCGGCGACGGGUAGCCGGCCUGAGAGGGUGAUCGGCCACACUGGAACUGAGACACGGUCCAG
This 238-nucleotide ribosomal RNA is filed under the name uncultured Actinomycetales bacterium. RNAcentral describes it as "partial 16S ribosomal RNA". It matches the Rfam family "Bacterial small subunit ribosomal RNA", at positions 92 to 334 of the family's 1533-position model. The record is from RNAcentral. Lineage: Bacteria; Bacillati; Actinomycetota; Actinomycetes; Actinomycetales.